CCAGAUAGUUGGAUUGUCGCUAUUAAAAAUUUAAUAGAGGAAAGUCCGGGCUCCAUAAAGACACAGUGCCAGUUAAUGGCUGGCGAAGGUGACUUCAGGGAUAGUGCCACAGAAAAUAAACCGCCUUAUCAAGGCAAGGGUGAAACGGCGAGGUAAGAGCUCACCGGUUUUUUGGUAACAAAAAACGCACGGCAAACCCCACUGGGAGCAAGGUUAAAUAGAAAGGACGUUGUGUGCAAACACUAAAAAUAGUCUUUAAUUGGUCCUUUGGGUUAACCGCUUGAGCUUAAGCGUGAGUUUAAGCCUAGAGAAAUGACAUCUUUAAUGACAGAACCCGGCUUAUAGAUUAUCUGGCAAA
RNAcentral lists this RNase P RNA (358 nucleotides) under Candidatus Pelagibacteraceae bacterium. Its description in RNAcentral is "RNase P RNA component class A". It matches the Rfam family "Bacterial RNase P class A". Rfam says of the family: Ribonuclease P (RNase P) is a ubiquitous endoribonuclease, found in archaea, bacteria and eukarya as well as chloroplasts and mitochondria. The record is from RNAcentral. Lineage: Bacteria; Pseudomonadati; Pseudomonadota; Alphaproteobacteria; Candidatus Pelagibacterales; Candidatus Pelagibacteraceae.